CAGCCGCCGCGGUAAUACGAAGGGGGCUAGCGCUGUUCGGAAUUACUGGGCGUAAAGCGCACGUAGGCGGAUCGAUCAGUCAGGGGUGAAAUCCCGCAGCUCAACUGCGGAACUGCCUUUAAUACUGUCGGUCUAGAGUAUGGAAGAGGUGAGUGGAAUUCCGAGUGUAGAGGUGAAAUUCGUAGAUAUUCGCAAGAACACCAGUGGCGAAGGCGGCUCACUGGCCCGGUACUGACGCUGAGGCGCGAAAGCGUGUGGAGUAAACAGGAUUAGAUACCCCUGUAGUCCCUGUCUCUUAUAC
Molecule: ribosomal RNA, 301 nt
Filed under: uncultured bacterium
Lineage: Bacteria
Description: partial 16S ribosomal RNA
Rfam family: Bacterial small subunit ribosomal RNA
Source: RNAcentral